GACGAACGCUGGCGGCGUGCUUAACACAUGCAAGUCGAGCGGUAAGGCCCUUUCGGGGGUACACGAGCGGCGAACGGGUGAGUAACACGUGGGUGACCUGCCCUCAGCUCUGGGAUAAGCCUGGGAAACCGGGUCUAAUACCGGAUAUGACUCCAUGACGCAUGUUGUGGGGUGGAAAGCCUUGUGCGGCUGAGGAUGGGCCCGCGGCCUAUCAGCUUGUUGGUGGGGUGAUGGCCUACCAAGGCGACGACGGUAGCCGGCCUGAGAGGCGACCGGCCACACUGGGACUGAGACACGGCCCAGACUCCUACGGGAGGCAGCAGUGGGGAAUCUUGCGCAAUGGGCGAAAGCCUGACGCAGCGACGCCGCGUGAGGGAUGACGGCCUGGU
This 389-nucleotide ribosomal RNA is filed under the name uncultured bacterium. Its description in RNAcentral is "bacterial SSU rRNA". It matches the Rfam family "Bacterial small subunit ribosomal RNA", at positions 28 to 420 of the family's 1533-position model. The record is from RNAcentral.